Molecule: long non-coding RNA, 1168 nt
Organism: Eucalyptus grandis
Lineage: Eukaryota; Viridiplantae; Streptophyta; Magnoliopsida; Myrtales; Myrtaceae
Exons: 2
Source: RefSeq, a predicted model, not a curated record
AUCACGCAUUCUCCAUUCCCAUCUCCUUCGCUGCUUUCCUUCUCGGCCACUUCUGCUUUUCAUUUUUUUCAUUCGACGAAGUUCGGUCUCCCUCAAAUUCUCUCUCUCUCUCUCUCCGUGUAUUUCCCUCACGCCAGCAUCCCCAUCCCACCGUAAACCCUCAUUUCUUUCUCCACCUCACGCCCACGCAUCCGAGUCUCCAUCCUCCUCAGUCAACUCCAGCAUCUUGAAGACCAUCGACUUCUCCAUCGAGUUUUGUCGGCCACAGAAUCCAUUCACCACUGCAGCAACCGAUCAGCACUUCGGCCUCAAGAAGUUGACUCCGUUCCUCUCACCCGUGGCCACGUCUCGCCUCAAAUCGAAGACCAACCCUGCUCCACUGCUGAGUCUUCAUUUCCUUCGGUCUUCACGUCUGCCGCUUCAUUGGUUCCUUCGCUGUUGGUGUCUCCAUCUUACUGCGUGAGACCGACCGAAGCAGCACACGCCCGCGCAGCAACUCCACGCGGCCAACGUUCAGCUGUUCCUCGAGUCUUCCGUGUGUGCAGCCAACCGAAGCUUUUUCCGCUCGCCGAAGCAAGAUGCCAGCGAGCCGUUUCUCCAUCCAGCUCGGCCCAGAAACAGUCCACGAAAAUUUCAGCUCCUUCUUGGGUUCUUGUUCGGCCUAGCUCCUCCAACACAAGCCCAUCAGCCCACACGAAUCAAGCUCUAGUCCAUUUUCUGCCGCAGCCCAUCCACGAAGACAGCCCAAGUGAAAUUUAGAUUAUUUCAGCCCAAGAAAAAUUGCAGCAGCCCAAGUCUUUGGCCCAUCAACUCCAGCAGCCCACUUGAAGCCCAAGAAGCAGGCCCAAGCCCAAGUCUAAGCCCAGAAAUUUCUGUGGGCUUGCAAGAUUUUGGGCCCAGUCCGAGUAUCCACCGACGCCGCUGAAAAGUUGGAUUUUGGCCGCCCUCGCGGUGAUCUAGUCUCCACUUUUAAUCAAGUCCUUAGACGAUGUUCAUGGAGGACUUGAAGUCGUGGAGUUUAGGGAAGUGAAGGAAGCAGAAUCGACAAAUCUGUUUGACUCGCUAGUCAUAGGAUAGUACCUUUUUGAUUAAGCCGAUAAUUUUGUUAGCGACCUCAUGAUGUAAAUAAACUUAUGUGUUUAUAAAAAGUUGGUUUUGGUUUGAAAAA